Molecule: ribosomal RNA, 390 nt
Filed under: uncultured bacterium
Lineage: Bacteria
Description: bacterial SSU rRNA
Rfam family: Bacterial small subunit ribosomal RNA
Source: RNAcentral
GUGUCAGCAGCCGCGGUAAUACGUAGGGGGCGAGCGUUGUCCGGAAUUAUUGGGCGUAAAGGGUGCGUAGGCGGCUGAACAAGUCAGAUGUGAAAGGUUAAGGCUUAACUUUAAUAAGCAUAUGAAACUGUUCAGCUUGAGUUAAGGAGAGGGGAGUGGAAUUCCUAGUGUAGCGGUGAAAUGCGUAGAUAUUAGGAGGAAUACCAGUGGCGAAGGCGACUCUCUGGACUUAAACUGACGCUGAGGCACGAAAGCGUGGGGAGCAAACAGGAUUAGAUACCCUGGUAGUCCACGCCGUAAACGAUGAGUGCUAGGUGUUGGGUGUCAAAGCUCAGUGCCGCAGCUAACGCAAUAAGCACUCCGCCUGGGGAGUACGAUGGCAACAUUGAA